ACCUGGCUGGCUCAGUCAGUAGAGCAUCUGACUCUUGAUCUCAGGGUUGUAGGUUUGAGCCCCAUGUUGGGUG
RNAcentral lists this transfer RNA (73 nucleotides) under Ailuropoda melanoleuca (giant panda). It matches the Rfam family "tRNA". Rfam says of the family: Transfer RNA (tRNA) molecules are approximately 80 nucleotides in length. The record is from Rfam by way of RNAcentral. Lineage: Eukaryota; Metazoa; Chordata; Mammalia; Carnivora; Ursidae.